UGGGGAAUUUUGGACAAUGGGGGAAACCCUGAUCCAGCCAUCCCGCGUGUGCGAUGAAGGCCUUCGGGUUGUAAAGCACUUUUGGCAGGAAAGAAACGUCAUGGGUUAAUACCCCGUGAAACUGACGGUACCUGCAGAAUAAGCACCGGCUAACUACGUGCCAGCAGCCGCGGUAAUACGUAGGGUGCAAGCGUUAAUCGGAAUUACUGGGCGUAAAGCGUGCGCAGGCGGUUCGGAAAGAAAGAUGUGAAAUCCCAGAGCUCAACUUUGGAACUGCAUUAUUAACUAGCGGGCUAGAGUGUGUCAGAGGGAGGUGGAAUUCCGCGUGUAGCAGUGAAAUGCGUAGAGAUGCGGAGGAACACCGAUGGCGAAGGCAGCCUCCUGGGAUAACACUGACGCUGAGGCACGAAAGCGUGGGGAGCAAACAGG
RNAcentral lists this ribosomal RNA (429 nucleotides) under Acidobacteriota bacterium. RNAcentral's name for it is "Acidobacteria bacterium partial 16S ribosomal RNA". It matches the Rfam family "Bacterial small subunit ribosomal RNA", at positions 355 to 776 of the family's 1533-position model. The record is from RNAcentral. Lineage: Bacteria; Pseudomonadati; Acidobacteriota.